CAGUCGCCGCGGUAAAACGGAGGGUGCAAGCGUUAAUCGGAAUUACUGGGCGUAAAGCGCACGCAGGCGGUCUGACAAGUCAGAUGUGAAAUCCCCGGGCUUAACCUGGGAACUGCAUUUGAAACUGUUAGGCUGGAGUCUUGUAGAGGGGGGUAGAAUUCCAGGUGUAGCGGUGAAAUGCGUAGAGAUCUGGAGGAAUACCGGUGGCGAAGGCGGCCCCCUGGACAAAGACUGACGCUCAGGUGCGAAAGCGUGGGGAGCAAACAGGAUUAGAUACCCCUGUAGUCCCUGUCUCUUAUAC
This 301-nucleotide ribosomal RNA is filed under the name uncultured bacterium. RNAcentral describes it as "partial 16S ribosomal RNA". It matches the Rfam family "Bacterial small subunit ribosomal RNA", at positions 509 to 807 of the family's 1533-position model. The record is from RNAcentral.